This 306-nucleotide long non-coding RNA is filed under the name Capsella rubella. RNAcentral describes it as "long non-coding RNA (CRUB_LNC004608)". Lineage: Eukaryota; Viridiplantae; Streptophyta; Magnoliopsida; Brassicales; Brassicaceae. The record is from RNAcentral.
CAGAAUUAUAUUUCUUCAUUUUUCUAACAACCAUACAAAUGGUAAGCAAUCUAGAAAACACAGUCGUAUGUCAAUUUUAUUUAAUAACGAAAGUAACAUAUUCGUUUUUUCUUUGUCGACAUAAACAUAUUCUACUACCCUUUUUUUUUUUUUAAAUUCUCAAAAUAUCUUUGCUCUUUUUCUUUCAUAAUAAUUCUCUACAGCUACCCCUAAUUAGAUGGUCUCGUUGUGAUGUGAUAAUAAAAACAAAAGAGUAAACAGUGGUAAUGAGUACAUAUGAUGAAGAAAGGAAACAGCACACGUGCG